CUAGCUCCUGCUAACACCAGUCCCUAACGCAUAAGAUCAGGGUAGUAUCUGUUCUUAUCAGUAUCUGACACGUCCUUCAUCAGAGGACAACCUAGUAAAUCCAUUUUUGCAAGUAGGAGUUGGACUAGGAGUUGCUCCAUCCGCUUCGUGCACUAACCUGGUAUUGCCGUACUUCCAGGAAAAAAAAAAAAAAG
Molecule: small nuclear RNA, 194 nt
Filed under: Echinops telfairi (small Madagascar hedgehog)
Lineage: Eukaryota; Metazoa; Chordata; Mammalia; Afrosoricida; Tenrecidae
Description: U2 spliceosomal RNA (ENSETEG00000024514.1)
Rfam family: U2 spliceosomal RNA
About the family: U2 is a small nuclear RNA (snRNA) component of the spliceosome (involved in pre-mRNA splicing).
Source: RNAcentral